Molecule: ribosomal RNA, 592 nt
Filed under: Discula destructiva
Lineage: Eukaryota; Fungi; Ascomycota; Sordariomycetes; Diaporthales; Gnomoniaceae
Description: LSU rRNA
Rfam family: Eukaryotic large subunit ribosomal RNA
Source: RNAcentral
AGGUAGGAAUACCCGCUGAACUUUAAGCAUAUCAAUAAGCGGAGGAAAAGAAACCACCAGGGAUUGCCCCAGUAACGGCGAGUAAGCGGCAACAGCUCAAAUUUGAAAUCUGGCUUCGGCCCGAGUUGUAAUUUGCAGAGGAUGUUUAUGGUGCGGUACCUUCCGAGUUCCCUGGAACGGGACGCCACAGAGGGUGAGAGCCCCGUCUGGUUGGAUACCAAACCUGUGUUAAACUCCUUCAACGAGUCGAGUAGUUUGGGAAUGCUGCUCUAAAUGGGAGGUAAAUCUCUUCUAAAGCUAAAUACCGGCCAGAGACCGAUAGCGCACAAGUAGAGUGAUCGAAAGAUGAAAAGCACCUUGAAAAGGGGGUUAAACAGUACGUGAAAUUGUUGAAAGGGAAGCGUUUAUGACCAGACUUGUGUCGUGUGGCUCAUCCGAGGUUCUCCCCGGUGCACUCCACACGGCUCAGGCCAACAUCGGUUCUCGUCGGGGGAUAAGAACAGUAGGAACGUGGCCCCCCUCGGGGGGUGUUAUAGCCUACUGUACGAUACCUUGAUGGGGACCGAGGACCGCGCUUCGGCUAGGAUGUUGG